AUUGAACGCUGGCGGCAUGCCUUACACAUGCAAGUCGAACGGCAGCACGGGAGCAAUCCUGGUGGCGAGUGGCGAACGGGUGAGUAAUAUAUCGGAACGUGCCCGGUCGUGGGGAUAACGUAGCGAAAGCUACGCUAAUACCGCAUACGAUCUACGGAUGAAAGCGGGGGAGUCGCAAGACCUCGCGCGAUUGGAGCGGCCGAUAUCAGAUUAGGUAGUUGGUGAGGUAAAGGCUCACCAAGCCGACGAUCUGUAGCUGGUCUGAGAGGACGACCAGCCACACUGGGACUGAGACACGGCCCAGACUCCUACGGGAGGCAGCAGUGGGGAAUUUUGGACAAUGGGCGCAAGCCUGAUCCAGCAAUGCCGCGUGCAGGAUGAAGGCCUUCGGGUUGUAAACUGCUUUGUACGGUAACGAAACGGUGAGCUCUAAUACAGUUGCUAAUGACGGUACCGUAAGAAUAAG
Molecule: ribosomal RNA, 466 nt
Filed under: uncultured bacterium
Lineage: Bacteria
Description: bacterial SSU rRNA
Rfam family: Bacterial small subunit ribosomal RNA
Source: RNAcentral